Mauremys reevesii (Reeves's turtle) is the source of this 495-nucleotide long non-coding RNA. RefSeq lists it as uncharacterized. The transcript has 3 exons. NCBI's taxonomy places the organism in Eukaryota, Metazoa, Chordata, Testudines, Geoemydidae. The record is from RefSeq and is a predicted model, not a curated record.
AGAGCUCCUGGCUGGCUGCUGGGACUGAGAAAAGCAGUUCCUGGCAGGGACCAGGGGUGCAAGAAGGUGCUUCUGGUUGACUGCUGGGACUGAAGCAAGAAGAACCCUCAGUUACCAGCAGGGACUCAGGGAGCAGAGAAGGAGCUUCUGGCUAGCUGCUGGGACUGAAACAAGCUGUUGUUCAGAGACUUUCACUCUGUGAUAAAGAUUGUGUGUGACUUGGCCAGAGGGCUGAGUUGCUGAAGACCUGCUGCAAUCACAGAGAGAAAGUGUAUGCACAUGCACUCGACCAAGGGGUGCUCAUGCAGCUGAAGAGAAGAGAGAGUGAAAAAGAGAGAAGAAUCAUAGGGUAAUGGAAUGGAAAAGAAUAAUAUAGGAUAAAGGAUUACUAAUUAAAAGAACAAAAACAUAAAAACUACAAUGGAAAAGGACAAAGAGGAGAAUGAGGGGGGAAAAAGACGAAAAGAAACAAAACUUGAGACUCCAGCUGGUAGG